AACGAACGCUGACGGCAUGCCUAACACAUGCAAGUCGAACGAGACCUUCGGGUCUAGUGGCGCACGGGUGCGUAACGCGUGGGAACCUGCCUUUAGGUUCGGAAUAACUCAGAGAAAUUUGAGCUAAUACCGGAUAAUGUCUUCGGACCAAAGAUUUAUCGCCUUUAGAUGGGCCCGCGUAAGAUUAGCUAGUUGGUGGGGUAAAGGCCUACCAAGGCGACGAUCUUUAGCUGGUCUGAGAGGAUGAUCAGCCACACUGGGACUGAGACACGGCCCAGACUCCUACGGGAGGCAGCAGUGGGGAAUAUUGGACAAUGGGCGAAAGCCUGAUCCAGCAAUGCCGCGUGAGUGAUGAAGGCCUUAGGGGUUGUAAAAGCUCUUUUACCCGAGAUGAUAAUGACAGUAUCGGGAGAAUAAGCUCCGGCUAACUCCGUGCCAGCAGCCG
Molecule: ribosomal RNA, 445 nt
Filed under: uncultured bacterium
Lineage: Bacteria
Description: bacterial SSU rRNA
Rfam family: Bacterial small subunit ribosomal RNA
Source: RNAcentral